Molecule: long non-coding RNA, 342 nt
Organism: Neltuma alba
Lineage: Eukaryota; Viridiplantae; Streptophyta; Magnoliopsida; Fabales; Fabaceae
Exons: 3
Source: RefSeq, a predicted model, not a curated record
CCAACCCUCUUCCUCAUGAUGAUUCUCAAGAUCUGAUUCUUUUCAUUUUUCUCAAAAUUUUAAUUAGACAGACUGUGGGCAGAUCUCACUGUGUUUAUGAACAGUCAUCACAGGGGGAUUUUCUACUUUUAACAGGAGGCUAUUAAAGCUCUUCAAUCGAAACCUUUGAUCUCUUUUAUGGAGUUGAAGUUGUGGAGGCGGUGAAUACUGAUUUUUACAUGCUGGAUGAUGAGACAAAGUGGAAAGUGAUGCCUCCCAUGCCAAAACAGAACUCACACAUUGAAUUUGCUUGGAUGCUUGUGAACAAUCCUAUAGUUAUUGUUGGAGGCACAACAAAGAAGC